This 496-nucleotide ribosomal RNA is filed under the name uncultured bacterium. RNAcentral describes it as "partial 16S ribosomal RNA". It matches the Rfam family "Bacterial small subunit ribosomal RNA", at positions 28 to 506 of the family's 1533-position model. The record is from RNAcentral.
GAUGAACGCUGGCGGCGUGCCUAAUACAUGCGAGUCGAGCGAACAGACGAGGAGCUUGCUCCUCUGACGUUAGCGGCGGACGGGUGAGUAACACGUGGAUAACCUACCUAUAAGACUGGGAUAACUUCGGGAAACCGGAGCUAAUACCGGAUAAUAUAUUGAACCGCAUGGUUCAAUAGUGAAAGACGGUUUUGCUGUCACUUAUAGAUGGAUCCGCGCCGCAUUAGCUAGUUGGUAAGGUAACGGCUUACCAAGGCAACGAUGCGUAGCCGACCUGAGAGGGUGAUCGGCCACACUGGAACUGAGACACGGUCCAGACUCCUACGGGAGGCAGCAGUAGGGAAUCUUCCGCAAUGGGCGAAAGCCUGACGGAGCAACGCCGCGUGAGUGAUGAAGGUCUUCGGAUCGUAAAACUCUGUUAUUAGGGAAGAACAAAUGUGUAAGUAACUAUGCACGUCUGGACGGUACCUAAGCAGAAAGCCACGGCUAACUACGU